GUAGGGGGCAAGCGUUGUCCGGAAUCAUUGGGCGUAAAGAGCUCGUAGGCGGCUUAGUAAGUCGGUCGUGAAAUACCGAGGCUCAACCUCGGUACUGCGGUCGAUACUGCUAUAGCUAGAGUUUGGUAGAGGAGAACGGAAUUCCCGGUGUAGCGGUGGAAUGCGCAGAUAUCGGGAGGAACACCUGUAGCGAAGGCGGUUCUCUGGGCCAACACUGACGCUGAGGAGCGAAAGCGUGGGGAGCAAACAGGAUUAGAUACCCUGGUAGUCCACGCUGUAAACGUUGGGCACUAGGUGUGGCGACCCGACCAACGGUUGCCGUGCCGAAGCUAACGCAUUAAGUGCCCCGCCUGGGGAGUACGGCCGCAAGGCUA
This 374-nucleotide ribosomal RNA is filed under the name uncultured bacterium. Its description in RNAcentral is "bacterial SSU rRNA". It matches the Rfam family "Bacterial small subunit ribosomal RNA", at positions 527 to 896 of the family's 1533-position model. The record is from RNAcentral.